This is a long non-coding RNA of Dreissena polymorpha, 721 nucleotides long. RefSeq lists it as uncharacterized. The record is from RefSeq and is a predicted model, not a curated record. NCBI's taxonomy places the organism in Eukaryota, Metazoa, Mollusca, Bivalvia, Myida, Dreissenidae. The transcript is spliced from 4 exons.
AUUAAGACAUAACAUUAUUAUAGUGUUGUAAUAUAUAUGGUUUUAAAGAUGUUUGGUUUAGUCUACUUUAAAAAGGUGGUUUAGUCUACUUUGAAAAGGAUAGUACACUUGUAAGUGUGCGACAAAAUCUCAGAGACUUGACAUUCGAAGUUUUCAAGCAAAAAAUCAAAAUGUUCCAUGAAAUGGGGCGCAGAAGACUAUGAGGAAAGAAUUAUUAUUACCAGAGAUGGUUCAACUGAUGGAACAUUAUCCAACCACAAUAAAAAGAUUUGGAUUGCGCAAGUUUUGCAGUGUUGCCUUUUACCUGAUGGUGAAACUAAGUUCCGUGUAUGUAAGCCAUAAAUCCGAGGGAGACACAAGAACGGUCAAGAGGUCAGGUUCUGGCGGGGAACAAGCAUGACAUAAAGCCUGUGCUUGAUGCUGUCAUCAUUUCUGCCUGCAAAGGUUAUGUCUGGAUGUGGUGCAAAGACCACAGCAAAACAGUGCCAGAUGACACCUCCUUCAACAAGGCAGUGACACUCCAAAUAGACUACUCCAGGAAAUAAAUGAAAUCAUCUUGUUUAAAUUGAGACUAAAAAUAGGGGGUGUUAGAUUUUUUAAUUUUUACCCUGUCAUAAUGUGAUCAAUUCAACAACAACAAAAAUAUUGGUACUGUCAGUAUAUUUCAUUGUGUACAUUUUAUUGUUUACAUUUUAUAAUCUCAUAAAAAAAAUGUUAUUUA